RNAcentral lists this transfer RNA (74 nucleotides) under Candidatus Colwellbacteria bacterium RIFCSPHIGHO2_12_FULL_44_17. Its description in RNAcentral is "tRNA-Gln". It matches the Rfam family "tRNA". From Rfam's summary of the family: Transfer RNA (tRNA) molecules are approximately 80 nucleotides in length. Their secondary structure includes four short double-helical elements and three loops (D, anti-codon, and T loops). The record is from RNAcentral. Lineage: Bacteria; Candidatus Colwelliibacteriota.
UGCCGGGUCGUCUAAUGGUAGGACACAUGCCUCUGGAGCAUGGUAUCGGGGUUCGAGCCCCUGCCCGGCAGCCG